Long non-coding RNA from Triticum aestivum (bread wheat), 1007 nucleotides. RefSeq lists it as uncharacterized. Lineage: Eukaryota; Viridiplantae; Streptophyta; Magnoliopsida; Poales; Poaceae. The transcript has 5 exons. The record is from RefSeq and is a predicted model, not a curated record.
AAAAAAAAUCCCCACCACCUCUCUUUCCUGAUUCACAUCUCUCACCCGUGCUGCAUGUCAACGAUAACAAUGCUGCCGCCACCAUCUCCGAUAACGCGCGGCUACACUUUCACCGCCCCUCGCUGGCCCAGAUUCCCCUCGCCGGACCAGCUUCCUCUCCUCCAGCGCGACGUCCUUCGCGCCCUUGCACGCACCCCCACGGCAAUCCUAGGUGCCACGGGUCGUCGGCGCUCCUGCGCCUCCGGUUUGUCGGUCCACUAACCCCGCGUCUUCGAAUGCGCGGCUGCGGGCUGGCGCUCCACGACACUACUCCGCCUCAGCGACCUCUACUCCGACGUCUAUGGUUCAGUAGGCUGCCAUGGUUGCCUACAGCUUACUCGACAACUCACCAAGACUCAUCUCCCCCAAGAAGGUUUACAGAAAAUAUCAAAGAUUCAAAGAUACAAAGCGCCUAGUCCCCUUUGAACCUCUGCGGCUCUGCCUAGCGCAUAUCCCCUGCAUUGUUUCCCUAUUGUCUUGUGCCAUCCCCAGUUCUAGGCGUCCAUCAUCAAUGAUCUCCCCUCACUAGAUAAGAAUUUCGAUUAGUAAUCAACAAUGCAGGGGCAGGGGUGGUGUCUCCUCAAUGGGCCAAAAAAUCGAAGGUUUGAUGGCAGCUCGCUGACACACAGUGGCAGUGCAGCGACUCUCAGAUGCACAAGGGCGUCGCAGCGACUCCCAGACGUACAGUGGUUGUGCGGCCACCCCAGAUGCAUAAUGGCGGCGCGGCGACUCCCAGAUGCAGAGCAGCAGAACGGCGGCUCUAUAGUGAUGAAUCUCGGGUUAUAGAAACUGGAUUGUUCCAGGCAGUGGCGACGCUACAUAACGACUACAAUGUCAAAUGACCACACAAGGAUGCUGCUAAUGCGACACUACGAUCAGAGACCCUUCGAGAAACUGUGUGCGAUGCAAUAAUAGCAAUCGUUAUUGUAUGAAAACCGUCAAAAAUGUAUAAAACGUUUGCGAUGACA